UGCAGGCUGCAACCCGCCUGUAUGAAGUUGGAAUCGCUAGUAAUCGCGGAUCAGCAUGCCGCGGUGAAUACGUUCCCGGGCCUUGUACACACCGCCCGUCACACCAUGAGAGUCGGGAACACCCGAAGUCCGUAGCCUAACCGCAAGGAGGGCGCGGCCGAAGGUGGGUUCGAUAAUUGGGGUGAAGUCGUAACAAGGUAGC
RNAcentral lists this ribosomal RNA (202 nucleotides) under uncultured bacterium. RNAcentral describes it as "partial 16S ribosomal RNA". It matches the Rfam family "Bacterial small subunit ribosomal RNA", at positions 1299 to 1500 of the family's 1533-position model. The record is from RNAcentral.